This 468-nucleotide ribosomal RNA is filed under the name uncultured bacterium. RNAcentral's name for it is "partial 16S ribosomal RNA". It matches the Rfam family "Bacterial small subunit ribosomal RNA", at positions 28 to 507 of the family's 1533-position model. The record is from RNAcentral.
GACGAACGCUGGCGGCGUGCUUAACACAUGCAAGUCGAACGGUGAAGUUCCAGCUUGCUGGAGUGGAUCAGUGGCGAACGGGUGAGUAACACGUGAGCAACCUGCCCCUGACUCUGGAAUAAGCGCUGGAAACGGCGUCUAAUACUGGAUACGAGAAGGGUCCGCAUGGGCACUUUCUGGAAAGUUUUUCGGUUGGGGAUGGGCUCGCGGCCUAUCAGCUUGUUGGUGAGGUAAUGGCUCACCAAGGCGACGACGGGUAGCCGGCCUGAGAGGGCGACCGGCCACACUGGGACUGAGACACGGCCCAGACUCCUACGGGAGGCAGCAGUGGGGAAUAUUGCACAAUGGGCGAAAGCCUGAUGCAGCGACGCCGCGUGAGGGAUGACGGCCUUCGGGUUGUAAACCUCUUUCAGCAGGGAAGAAGCGAAAGUGACGGUACCUGCAGAAGAAGCACCGGCUAACUACGUG